UGGGACAACCGGAGACGACUGUGCUCCCAGUCGCUCAGUCCGCGCCCCGACACGCAAUCACACGGACACUUGUUAAGGACGACGGCGUUAUCGCCGUUUCUCUCACUCGGGGCUUUUCAAAUCGGUUCAUAAUUCCCGCUACCGCGCGCCGGAACAGUUCGAAGGACUCCCCCGCAUACCGGUUUUUUCGUCGAUCAUCAACCAACGAUACCCUACGAUAUUUUUGCUGAUACUAACACAACCGAAUUCACAACACACUAACCAACUAUGACUUUCGAGAACAAGCAUUAUCUCGUCCAGGGCCUCACGCCAACGCCCUAAGUCCUGAAUAAGAAAAGGAUUUAUUGCGCAAAAGAGUACGGUACGACAAGCCCGUGUAUGACUCGUUGAAUAAAUCGUUGUGCCAUCGAACAAACCGUGGGUCACCGCUAUUCAAACCGCAGAUAUUUUAUCGCGGAAAUUGACUUUGAAUCUUUCAUUCCUUGAGAAAAUAGGCGACGUAUCUAAAGUGUUUAAACGCGUGAGCAUUUCACGGAAUUCUUCAUUUAUUCAUCCGAAAUCUCUCUUCACGGCAUUUUUGUUUAUGCACAUUUAUUCAACUUGAAACUUUAAUUAAAUGUAAUAUAUAAAUUGGAUUUUGUGUACUAUAUAAUCUUAAUAACACAAUCGCUUGGUUGGAGAGAAAUCUCUAGGAUAAUUAAGUAUAGUCCAAUUAAGUAUCCGUAUUUGCCAAGUAAUAUCAGUUGUUAGCUCUGCGUGUAAGAAUCUGAGAUUUUCACGUCAAAUGGGAGAGCUUUUUCUGCGAGAAAAAAUUAUGCGCUAAAAUUGUGGAAACGGCAGAGAGGUGUGUUUCCGCCCUAAAUCGCUAUCCUUGUAAAUUGUCGACCAUUUGGCGUGAAUUUCGAGGGUGCAGGUGUAUCCGGCCGGAAAGUCUGCUUCUGGUGGCAGCAGAUGGAACAUGAAAAGCGCGGAAAAAGCAAGAAAAUUCGCUGACAUCGCGCGUCUGCAUGCACAGUGCCCAUUGAGAAAUCGAUGGUAGCAGGGGUCGCCAGCGAAAUGGAAAAAAAUCUGCACAAUAGCUGCUAUGGCAUUGUACUCCAAAAGUCAUGAGUUCAAUCAUUGCGCGCCAAAAGUAUCGCGUUUGUCAGAAUUUCAACCAGUUUAUCUGUCUAAAACAGCUUCUAUGAUUCUUCUCGAUGCGAUGUACGAUAGAAGAAGCACACGAUAUAAUAAAAAAAAGCAAAAAGAUACGAGCAAAAAGAUGGCUACGCUUACAAAUUAUAACAAUGUUCAUUAUAAAAAGCUGCAAAAAAAUAAAUAAAAACGUGCAAAAGAGCGAUAACAAGACAAA
Molecule: long non-coding RNA, 1351 nt
Organism: Ooceraea biroi (clonal raider ant)
Lineage: Eukaryota; Metazoa; Arthropoda; Insecta; Hymenoptera; Formicidae
Source: RefSeq, a predicted model, not a curated record